AGCCCCGUCGUCUAGCGGCCAAGGACCACGGGCUUUGGACCCGUGUACAUCGGUUCGAAUCCGGUCGGGGCUA
This 73-nucleotide transfer RNA is filed under the name Microcaldota archaeon. RNAcentral's name for it is "tRNA-Gln". It matches the Rfam family "tRNA". From Rfam's summary of the family: Transfer RNA (tRNA) molecules are approximately 80 nucleotides in length. Lineage: Archaea; Nanobdellati; Microcaldota. The record is from RNAcentral.